This 401-nucleotide ribosomal RNA is filed under the name uncultured bacterium. RNAcentral's name for it is "bacterial SSU rRNA". It matches the Rfam family "Bacterial small subunit ribosomal RNA", at positions 356 to 773 of the family's 1533-position model. The record is from RNAcentral.
GGGGAAUCUUGCCCAAUGGGCGCAAGCCUGAGGCAGCAACGCCGCGUGCGGGAAGAAGGCCCUCGGGUUGUAAACCGCUUUCAGCAGGAACGAAAAUGACGGUACCUGCAGAAGAAGGUGCGGCCAACUACGUGCCAGCAGCCGCGGUGACACGUAGGCACCAAGCGUUGUCCGGAUUUAUUGGGCGUAAAGAGCUCGUAGGCGGUUCGGUAAGUCGGGUGUGAAAACUUUGGGCUCAACCCAAAGCCUGCACUCGAUACUGCUGUGACUUGAGUCCGGUAGGGGAGUGGGGAAUUCCUGGUGUAGCGGUGGAAUGCGCAGAUAUCAGGAGGAACACCGGUGGCGAAGGCGCCACUCUGGGCCGGUACUGACGCUGAGGAGCGAAAGCGUGGGGAGCGAAC